UUGACCUCGGAUCAGGUAGGGAUACCCGCUGAACUUAAGCAUAUCAAUAAGCGGAGGAAAAGAAACCAACAGGGAUUGCCUUAGUAACGGCGAGUGAAGCGGCAACAGCUCAAAUUUGAAAGCUGGCUCCUUUGGAGUCCGCGUUGUAAUUUGUAGAGGAUGAUUCGGCAAGGGCUCCCGCCUAAGUCUCCUGGAACGGAGCGUCAUAGAGGGUGAGAAUCCCGUAUGCGGUGGGCUGCCUAAGCCAUGUGAAUCUCCUUCGACGAGUCGAGUUGUUUGGGAAUGCAGCUCUAAAUGGGAGGUAAAUUUCUUCUAAAGCUAAAUACCGGCCAGAGACCGAUAGCGCACAAGUAGAGUGAUCGAAAGAUGAAAAGCACUUUGGAAAGAGAGUUAAAAAGUACGUGAAAUUGUUGAAAGGGAAGCGCUUGCAGCCAGACUUGUCCGCAGUUGCUCAGCCGGUCUCCUGACCGGUGUACUCUUCUGCGGCCAGGCCAGCAUCAGUUCGGGCGGUCGGAUAAAGACCUCGGGAAUGUAGCUCCUCUCGGGGAGUGUUAUAGCCCGGGGUGGAAUGCGGCCAGCCUGGACUGAGGAUCUCGCUUCGGCUAGGAUGCUGGCGUAAUGGCUGUAAGCGGCCCGUCU
Molecule: ribosomal RNA, 639 nt
Filed under: Botryosphaeria dothidea
Lineage: Eukaryota; Fungi; Ascomycota; Dothideomycetes; Botryosphaeriales; Botryosphaeriaceae
Description: eukaryotic LSU rRNA
Rfam family: Eukaryotic large subunit ribosomal RNA
Source: RNAcentral